GAUGACACAACACAGGGCAUCUUGGGAUCUUGGAUAGAGACAGAAAGGAACUGGUAAGCAGGCCACCUUUUCCCAGCAGAAAUACACAUGGUGAUGAUGAGACUCUGGGAAGUUGAGACCCACUGGGUGGCAGUGCCCACGUCCUGCCUAGGAGAAGUCACAGGGACCGAGGACAGCUUUGGGGACGGCCACACGAAGCCACAUCUGUGUCACAUCCAUGGGCCUCAAGACAGGCCAUCAGCUCUCUCUCCACUAGGAAGAACUGAGUGCAAGCUAUCCCCACUGUGUGAUUUCAGACACGGAUGCAUCUUUUCAAGGAACUUAGUUUCAGUUGGGAAGCGCCAAGGAUGUCAAAGCCGGGGGAGCCUCUGGGUUUACAUGCACCGGCGGGUGAGGUGGCAGCCAGAGUCAGAACGUAGGACAGCCAGUUUCUACUGGAACUAGCAGGCCACCAGGGUCACCUCCGUGGCAGGUGGAAUGGAUCCGGGAGGCCAGGCAGGACAUGGACAUUCUGCACGUCCUUGCCGGCAAAAACACGAACUUGGAAACUGAGCCAAACCACAAAUCCUCCAGGGAUUCAGCCCACACCCCUGCAACCUGCUACAGGAAGAUACUUUGCUUUAGUGAAAACCUUAGUAAGCAGUCAGGUUCAGCCAAGGUUCGUUUUCUGCCACCACCACCAGUUCCUUAUAAAACAGCACACACAAGCAUUCUCUGUCAUCUCUAAAAACCCCUGACUUUUGUUCCCUGGGGAGGAGAACCGCGUUUGCAGCCAAUAUCUCUGUCCCAGCAUGGCAAUUCUGAGACCCCAAAUAAACACUAGGGUCAUUC
Molecule: long non-coding RNA, 831 nt
Organism: Canis lupus familiaris (dog)
Lineage: Eukaryota; Metazoa; Chordata; Mammalia; Carnivora; Canidae
Exons: 2
Source: RefSeq, a predicted model, not a curated record